AUUGAACGCUGGCGGCAUGCCUUACACAUGCAAGUCGAACGGCAGCACGGGUGCUUGCACCUGGUGGCGAGUGGCGAACGGGUGAGUAAUACAUCGGAACAUGUCCUGUAGUGGGGGAUAGCCCGGCGAAGGCCGGAUUAAUACCGCAUACGAUCUACGGAUGAAAGCGGGGGACCUUCGGGCCUCGCGCUAUAGGGUUGGCCGAUGGCUGAUUAGCUAGUUGGUGGGGUAAAGGCCUACCAAGGCGACGAUCAGUAGCUGGUCUGAGAGGACGACCAGCCACACUGGGACUGAGACACGGCCCAGACUCCUACGGGAGGCAGCAGUGGGGAAUUUUGGACAAAGGGCGAAAGCCUGAUCCAGCAAUGCCGCGUGUGUGAAGAAGGCCUUCGGGUUGUAAAGCACUUUUGUCCGGAAAGAAAUCCUUGGCCCUAAUACGGUCGGGGGAUGACGGUACCGGAAGAAUAAGCACCAGCUAACUACGUG
This 486-nucleotide ribosomal RNA is filed under the name uncultured bacterium. RNAcentral's name for it is "partial 16S ribosomal RNA". It matches the Rfam family "Bacterial small subunit ribosomal RNA", at positions 30 to 507 of the family's 1533-position model. The record is from RNAcentral.